UUAUGACAACAUCAUGAUAAAGGUACAUUGUGACCUUAAAAGAAUAUUUUACUGGAGCAUUGUACAUGCUGCAUAAAUGUUAAUUGUUAUUAUUAUUACAAUUUUUAGUUCAGCCAGUGUAGCAAUUUAUCACUACAAUGGCAAGAAAUUGCUACUCUGGUUCUUGACAGUGGGUUUGCCACCUUCUGCUGUCUUCCUGGUUUUCACUCCACAUGGGAGUGAGGCGGCCGCUGAAUGCCAGGGCUAUGUCAAGUCUGGGAUUCUUAGUGGACUUCUCCACAAACACGGUGCCUAUUAGGGGAAAAAGUCUCUAGAAUUCUCCUGGCCCAGCCUUGAACAUCUUCCAGUAGGAACUGAGGAGAGCUUCCGAUGCAAAAUAAGAGGAAAAGAAGGCAGUGGGGUAAUUUACCACUGAAAAGAUUUCCCCAUUAGACAUUUUUACAGCAUCAAACUUGGUGGGGGAGGGGGUUUCUCCUGGCACGAUUCUGUUUGUUUCCUCCUUUUGUGGCACGAACAACAGCAUUUCAUAUUGAAACAUGAAGCCUCUAAAAUUAGGAUGGCGGCCAGAAAUUUGUAAUGGGUGCUUCACACCGUUCACACUCCUGCUUCACCCUCCUGGCUCCACUCAGCCGAGGGCAGCUCCACCCUGCAAGAAACUCGCAGCUCAAUUUGGAGCAAGUUUUGCUUGCUGAGGGGAGGCUGCUGUCAAUGGCACCGAAUGCCAAGCAAGGAAGCAGACCUGAUUCGUUUCUAGGCUUCAUCACCAGCUGCUUCUCCCUCGGCCUCCUCAGCCCCCAGCUGCCUGGGUUCGAAUCCCAGCUCUCUGCUCAUCAGGUGUGUAACCCUGGGCGAUGACUCCACCUCUGUGAGCUUCCACGUCUGCAGCUGUCAGCUCAGAAUCAAGAUGUCUGCCAGCCAAGAAUACCAGAAGCCUUGGUGGCAGGAAGGAGUGCUACCGCUGCCUGAGAACCACUGGUAACACCUUCCUGUGCUAAGGGCCCAUCGUCCUAACACAGGCUGUGCCUCAGGCAGAAGCUUCCUCUUCCUUCCUAUAUGCCCCAUCUCUGAGAUCACAGUAGGAGAAACCUCACCAUCACAGCCAAGACCGGAAUGCCAGUCAUGGAUCCAUCCAACCUCAUCCUUCCAUUGCUGAGAACUGUAAGCAUGGAGAGAGAGACCGCUGGCUAAGCCUGCACUCCUUUGUCCUCAUUCUGAGGGGAAAAAAAGCCAGAAGUCCUAGAGAGUUUAGCUUGCAGAGCCCAAUCUCACACACUAUAAAAUAGUUGGAGAUCUCUUACAUUUGAAAAAUCACAGCUGCAUGCUCUGCCUUCCAGCACCAGGCAGGAGAAAUGAGACAAACAAGCUUUGAAAAUAAAUCUGACUCUCUCGCGGCUCCGGAUAGCCGACAAGUGUUCGUCCAUCUGCCGCAAGCGUUCACACUGUGAAUUCAUUGAUUUGAUAAUACUCUCGCAUAAUUGAUUAAGGAGAGACUGGCUUCUUGACUUGCCUCCAUGUUUUCUGUCUGAUGUCUUCCCAGCAUUGCUCUCUGCUUUACGCAUGGCGAGGAAGGAGAAACCAAUGAUUUUUUCCAGCACUUUUCAAUGGGAUACAUGCAUGCUAUUGGUUAUCCCAAAACGGUGUAUUUUUCAAGUUCUUGAAUGGCAGCAACUGUUAGGUGUGUGCUUCUUUCCCCCAAAAUAUUUCUCCCAAUCUUCACAAUGCCGUCUUCAUCCUCUCCACCCCACUGCCCCAUUGUAUUUAUAGGAAGUGAAGAAAAACCAGAGGUCCAUUGGCGCCUAGCAGUCACCAUCGCCUGACACAGAGCGAUGGUAACUGCAGAAUUGUCAUAUGAGAUAUUAGCCCAGGGAAUAACACUGAUCCUUCUCCUAUCAGCAACUGCAACAACCCAUCCG
This 1913-nucleotide long non-coding RNA is filed under the name Homo sapiens (human). RNAcentral describes it as "HSALNT0339852". The record is from RNAcentral. Lineage: Eukaryota; Metazoa; Chordata; Mammalia; Primates; Hominidae.